This 656-nucleotide ribosomal RNA is filed under the name Clostridioides difficile. RNAcentral describes it as "bacterial LSU rRNA". It matches the Rfam family "Bacterial large subunit ribosomal RNA", at positions 837 to 1500 of the family's 2925-position model. Lineage: Bacteria; Bacillati; Bacillota; Clostridia; Peptostreptococcales; Peptostreptococcaceae. The record is from RNAcentral.
GCCCGGAGAUAGCUGGUUCUCCCCGAAAUAGCUUUAGGGCUAGGCUCAAGGUGAGAGAUACGGAGGUAGAGCACUGAAUGUCCUAGGGGGUAUUGCACCUACCGAAGACUAUCAAACUCCGAAUGCCGUCAUCUUAUACUCUGGAGUAAGACUGUGGGUGAUAUGAUUCAUAUCCGAAAGGGCAACAGCCCAGAUCGUCAGCUAAGGUCCCUAAAUGUAAGUUAAGUGGUAAAGGAUGUGGGAUUGCACAGACAACCAGGAUGUUGGCUUAGAAGCAGCCACUCAUUCAAAGAGUGCGUAAUAGCUCACUGGUCGAGUGAUCCUGCGCCGAAGAUUUCCGGGGCUAAAACUUACUACCGAAGCUACGGCAUCAUUAUGAUGGGUAGGGGAGCUUCCCAUACGGGUUGAAGCAUGACCGGAAGGACAUGUGGACAGGAUGGGAGUGCGAAUGGUGGCCUGAGUAGCGAGAUGUGGGUGAGAAUCCCACAGGCCGUAAACCCAAGGUUUCCAGGGGAAGGUUCGUCCGCCCUGGGUUAGUCGGGACCUAAGGUGAGGCCGAAAGGCGUAGGGGAGGGAGAACAGGUUGAUAUUCCUGUACUACCGAUAACCGUUUGAGAGAAGGGAUGACACAGUAGGAUAAGCUAAGCACACUGUUG